This 498-nucleotide ribosomal RNA is filed under the name uncultured bacterium. Its description in RNAcentral is "partial 16S ribosomal RNA". It matches the Rfam family "Bacterial small subunit ribosomal RNA", at positions 28 to 507 of the family's 1533-position model. The record is from RNAcentral.
GACGAACGCUGGCGGCGUGCCUAAUACAUGCAAGUCGAGCGAAGUUUUUCUGGUGCUUGCACCGGAAAAACUUAGCGGCGAACGGGUGAGUAACACGUAAAGAACCUGCCUCAUAGACUGGGACAACUAUUGGAAACGAUAGCUAAUACCGGAUAACAGCAUUAACUGCAUGGUUGAUGUUUAAAAGUUGGUUUUGCUAACACUAUGAGAUGGCUUUGCGGUGCAUUAGCUAGUUGGUGGGGUAAGGCCUACCAAGGCGACGAUGCAUAGCCGACCUGAGAGGGUGAUCGGCCACACUGGGACUGAGACACGGCCCAGACUCCUACGGGAGGCAGCAGUAGGGAAUCUUCCGCAAUGGGCGAAAGCCUGACGGAGCAACGCCGCGUGAGUGAAGAAGGAUUUCGGUUCGUAAAGCUCUGUUGUUAGGGAAGAAUGAUUGUGUAGUAACUAUACACAGUAGAGACGGUACCUAACCAGAAAGCCACGGCUAACUACGUG